GAUGAACGCUGGCGGCGUGCCUAAUACAUGCAAGUCGAGCGAACGGACGAGAAGCUUGCUUCUCUGAUGUUAGCGGCGGAUGGGUGAGUAACACGUGGAUAACCUACCUAUAAGACUGGGAUAACUUCGGGAAACCGGAGCUAAUACCGGAUAAUAUUUUGAACCGCAUGGUUCAAAAGUGAAAGACGGUCUUGCUGUCACUUAUAGAUGUAUCCGCGCUGCAUUAGCUAGUUGGUAAGGUAACGGCUUACCAAGGCAACGAUGCAUAGCCGACCUGAGAGGGUGAUCGGCCACACUGGAACUGAGACACGGUCCAGACUCCUACGGGAGGCAGCAGUAGGGAAUCUUCCGCAAUGGGCGAAAGCCUGACGGAGCAACGCCGCGUGAGUGAUGAAGGUCUUCGGAUCGUAAAACUCUGUUAUUAGGGAAGAACAUAUGUGUAAGUAACUGUGCACAUCUUGACGGUACCUAAUCAGAAAGCCACGGCUAACUACGUG
This 497-nucleotide ribosomal RNA is filed under the name uncultured bacterium. RNAcentral's name for it is "partial 16S ribosomal RNA". It matches the Rfam family "Bacterial small subunit ribosomal RNA", at positions 28 to 507 of the family's 1533-position model. The record is from RNAcentral.